This 279-nucleotide ribosomal RNA is filed under the name uncultured bacterium. Its description in RNAcentral is "partial 16S ribosomal RNA". It matches the Rfam family "Bacterial small subunit ribosomal RNA", at positions 506 to 784 of the family's 1533-position model. The record is from RNAcentral.
UGCCAGCCGCCGCGGUAAUACGGAGUGUGCAAGCGUUGUUCGGAAUCACUGGGCGUAAAGCGCGCGUAGGCGGCAAGAUAAGUCAGAUGUGAAAUCCCUCGGCUCAACCGAGGAACUGCAUUUGAAACUGUCUGGCUUGAGUACGGGAGAGGGAAGCGGAAUUCCCAGUGUAGAGGUGAAAUUCGUAGAUAUUGGGAGGAACACCAGCGGCGAAGGCGGCUUCCUGGACCGAUACUGACGCUGAGGCGCGAAAGCGUGGGGAGCAAACAGGAUUAGAUA